GGGAUGGUUCUAGCAAAAACUCGAACUCUCCUCCUUCUGUUUCUAUCUUUCUCGAUCAGUAUGGAUCAAGUCUAAAAGAUGAAGAGCUUUCUAGAGAUGGAGUCGAGCACUGCAACUCUGAAGCACCGAUCAAAGCAGGAGAUGGAUUCCAUGGGAAGUGCAGAUCAUGAGUUUCAGGGCGCUAAAUAAGGAUGUUGGAGAGGUGUUAGCGGCUAUUGAGGCAUGGCAUUAGGGAUUACAACUUCAAGCUCUCACCGUCGACAUUGAAGCCAACAACUCCAACCUAAUCAGACUCAUCUCAGGACUUCCAAGUAGCAUGGACUGGCAAGCUAAAGUUAUGUGGGAAGAUAGAAUCUCGGAUCCUCUAAAUUUCCUUCUUUCUUCAAAUUUUUUUAUUUAUUCUUCGGUUAGUAAAUCUGCAAUUCAGGCAGCAAUUGCAUUAGCAGCUGUUUCAGCUAAUGCAACAACUACCUGUAACUAUGUGGGUUACCCUCCAGCUUGUAUUUUUCAUAUUUUAGAUCGGGAUAGAUUGAGAAACUAUGCUCAAGAUUAUCAAACCCAUGUUUGUUUUGAAUUUUAACUUAAUCUAAGGUAUUUUCUUAUAUAAAAAAAAAACAAUCUUAACUUU
This is a long non-coding RNA of Papaver somniferum (opium poppy), 628 nucleotides long. RefSeq lists it as uncharacterized. The record is from RefSeq and is a predicted model, not a curated record. The transcript has 2 exons. Lineage: Eukaryota; Viridiplantae; Streptophyta; Magnoliopsida; Ranunculales; Papaveraceae.